This is a non-coding RNA of Xyrichtys novacula (pearly razorfish), 1455 nucleotides long. Lineage: Eukaryota; Metazoa; Chordata; Actinopteri; Labriformes; Labridae. The record is from the annotation of a GenBank genome assembly.
GGGCUUCCUGAAGGUAAUACCCGGGUAUUAGGUUAUGGGGCUUUGGAAAGUUUUAGGGUUUUUGGCAUCAGGGUUAAAAUCACUGUCCAAAAACCUUUGUAGGAACUCUUUUCCAACCUUUUGGAGUUAGGUUGACCAAAAAAAAAAAGAAAAAAGAAAAAAAAAUAUUUGGGGUGUUCGGGCUUCCUGAAGGUAAUACCCGGGUAUUAGGUUUUGGGGCUAGGGUAAGGUUUGAGGUUUUUGGCAUUAGGGUUAAAAUCACUGUCCAAAACCUUUUUAGGAACACGUUUCAGACCUUUUGGAGUUUGUACACCGAAAAAAAAAUGUAAAAUUAAAAAAAAAUAUUUGGGGUGUUCGGGCUUCCUGAAGGUAAUACCCGGGUAUCAGGUUAUGGGGCUAUGGUAAGGUUUAAGGUUUUUGGCGUUACGGUUAAAAUCACUGUCCAAAACCUUUGUAGGAACUGUUUCUAAACUUUUGGAGUCAGUUAGACCCAAAAAAAAAGAGAAAUGAAAAAAAAACAUUUGGGGUUUUCAGGCUUCCUGGAGGUAAUACCCUAAUAUUAGGUUUUGGGGCUAGGGUAAGGUUUGAGGUUUUUGGCGUUAGGGUUAAAAUCACUGUCCAAAACCUUUUUAGGAACAUGUUUCAGACCUUUUGGAGUUGGUUACAUACAAAAAAAAUGUAAAAUGAAAAAAAAAAUAUUUGGGGUGUUCGGGCUUCCUGAAGGUAAUACCCGGGUAUUAGGUUAUGGGGCUAUGGUAAGGUUUUACGGUUUUUGACGUUAGGGUGAAAAUAACUUUCCAAAACCUUUGUAGGAACUCUUUUCCAACCUUAUGGAGUUCGUUAGACCAAAAAAAAAGAAAAAUGAAAAAAAAAUAUUUGGGGUGUUCGGGCUUCCUGAAGGUAAUACCCGGGUAUUAGGUUAUGGGGCUUAGGAAAUGUUUAAGGUUUUUGGCGUUAGGGUUAAAAUCACUGUCCAAAAACCUUUGUAGGAACUCUUUUCCAACCUUUUGGAGUUAGGUUGACCAAAAAAAAAAAAAAAAAGAAAAAAAAUAUUUGGGGUGUUCGGGCUUCCUGAAGGUAAUACCCGGGUAUUAGGUUUUGGUGCUAGGGUAAGGUUUGAGGUUUUUGGCAUUAGGGUUAAAAUCACUGUCCAAAACCUUUUUAGGAACACCUUUCAGACCUUUUGGAGUUUGUACACCAAAAAAAAAAUGUAAAAUGAAAAAAAAAUAUUUGUGGUGUUCGGGCUUCCUGAAGGUAAUACCCGGGUAUUAGGUUAUGGGGCUAUGGUAAGGUUUAAGGUUUUUGGCGUUAGGGUUAAAAUCACUGUCCAAAACCUUUGUAGGAACUCUUUUCCAAACACGGAGUCAGUUAGACCAAAAAAAAAUGAAAAAUGAAAUAAAAAAUAUUUGGGGUGUUCAGGCUUCCUGAAGGUAAUACCCGGGUAUUAGGUUAUGG